GGCACUUCUUGCAUGGUCUAAAGGUGGUUGGGCAAACCAUUGCAGUCACCUCUGACUCCAGAGGUGGGUAUGGCCCACCAUCACUAGGGGUCUAUGAGAAAGUAUCACUUGUGGACUCAGUCAUCGCAGAGGUCAACACAGAGGAGAGCAGGGCAAAUGAGCACCACCCAUUGUUGCUCUCACGCCCCUGGGAAUGCACACAUCCUGUCACUGACACUGCCAAACGCUCUGGGUGCUGCCUACACCUUCCUGAACCUAGCUGCCACUUCCCACAGCCCUGCAACUAGGAGAAGUCUGUGCAACCUUCCCAUGGGUCCCUGCUACUGCCAAGGGCCCAGCAACCAGGCACUGGCUACUAGACCUGACUGCUGCCUCCAUCUCCCCAGAAGCACACACAGCACCCUAACCAGGGGACAACAGCCUGCUCACACUGAGGAAAGAGCCCACAAGCAUCCAAACUCCCAUGCCAAAGAUAAAUAGGAAGACCACACGAAAUACCCAGGGGCACUCGUGCAUAUAAACAGCCCUCCAAGACUGCAGUAGUUGGUUUCCCUAAACUCACAGAAUAAGAAAAAUAUAAGCAAAAUGAAGCAGCUCGGGAACCCUUCCCAGUUAAUAGAACAAAUUAACUCACCUGAAGGAGCAAACACUGAAACGGACCUCUGCAGUCUAACAGACACUGAGUUCAAAAAGGAGACAGUGAAAAUACUGAAGGAAUUAAGGGUGACUAUGAAAGAGUUAAGAGCAGACAUAGACCAUAUUGCAGAUUACUUUAGAAAGGAACUAGACGCUCUAAGGAGGAGCCAAGAAAAAUUAGAAAAUUCAUUUGCAGAGAUGCUAACUGAGUUAAAGCCACUGAAGAGCGGAAUGAAUAAUGCAGAGGAACCAACUAGUGACUUGGAAGACGGAAUAAUGGAAAUGACCCAAUCUGGACAGCAGACAGGAAACCAAAUGAAAAAACAUGAAAGCAAUAUAAGAGAUCUAUGGGAUAAUACAAAGCAGGCCAAUCUACACAUAAUAGGGAUUCCAGAAGGCGAAGAAAAAGAAAAGGGGACUGAAAAUAUAGUUGAAGAAAUUACGGCUGAAACCUCCCAAUUCUAAAGCAAACAGACAUCAGGAAGCACAGAGGGCCCCAAACAAGUGGAACCCAAACAGGCCCACACCAAGACACAGUAUAAUAAAAAUGACAAACGUUACAGACAAAGAGAGGAUUCUAAAAGCACCAAGAGAAAAAACAAGUAAUUAAUUACAAGGCAACCUACGUAAGGCCAUCAGCUCUUGUCCCUACAGAACACUACAGGUCAGAAGAGAGUGGAGAGAUCUAUUCAAAGCUCUCAAAGAGAAAAGACUGCAGCCUAGAAUAUACUCUACCCAGCAAGGAUAUCAUUUAAAAUUGUUGGAGAAAUUCUUUAUUUCUCCUUCUAACAAAAACUAAAAGAGUACAGCAAUACUAAACCCACUCUAAAAGAAAUCCUGAAAGGGCUCAUCUAAAUAAAAAAGCAGUAAGAGGAAAUAGGAUGGAGGAAAUCACAGUUGAGAAGUAAUCACUUAAAUGAGUCAGUAUACAAAUCCUAAAGGGGGGGGAGCCUAUUGUAAAAGCAACAAUAAGCAUAAGGAACAGCAAAAGGAUAAACAUGAAGAUGUUAAAAAAGGAUACUGAAAUCAUAAAAUGUGGGGAAAGAAAUUAAGAAAAUCUAGACUUUUUUUUAACAAUGUGUUUGAGCCUACCUGACUACCAGGCUAAAACAAGCAGAUAUAGGAAGGGACAAAUAUUCUUGAAAAAUAAGGCAACCACAAGUCUAAACCAAAAGAUACAUUCACAAAACAAGCAUAAAAUAAAUCAUCCAACCAAAAAAAAAAAAGAACAAAGGAGAAACAUGGAUCAAUUGGAAAAUAAGCUUUAAAAUGGCAACAAACAUAUAUUUAUCAAUAAUUAUUUUAAAUGUCAGUGGACUGAAUGCUCCAGUCAAAAGACAGAGCGGCAGAUUGGACAAAAAACAAGACCCUACAAUACACUGCCUACAGGAGAUUCACCUUAGGACAAAGGACACAUAUAAAUUCAAAGUGAGGGGAUGAAAAAAGAUGUUUCAUGUGAAUGGAAAAGACAGGAAACCAGGAGUUGUAAUACUCAUAUCACACAAAAUAGACUUUAAUACGAAGGCCAUAAAGAAAGGCAAAGAAGGACACUGUUUAGUGAAAAAAGGGUUAAUUCAAGAAGAGGAUAUUACACUCGUCAAUAUACAUGCCCCUAAUACAGGAGCACCCAAAUGUGUACUAACAAACAUAAAAGGAGAAAGCAAUGGAAUACAGUAAUAGUAGGAGACUUUAACACCCCACUCACAUCAGUGGACAGAUCCUCUAGAUAGAAAAUCAGCAAGGUGGCAGAGACCCUAAAUGACACAAUAGAAAAGUUAUACUUAAUUGACAUUUUUAAGACAUUACAGCCAAAAAAUCUGGAUAUACAUUCUUUUCAAGUGCACAUGGAACAUUCUCAAGGAUUGACCACAUACUGGGGCACAAAAAUAACCUCAAGAAAUACAAGAGUAUAGAAAUUAUUUCAAUUAUCUUCUUUGACUACAAUGACAUAGAACUAGAAACCAACCACAGGAAAUGAAAAAAAAUACUGACUACAUGGAGACUAAAUAACAUGCUACUAAAAAUCAAUGGGUCACAAGGAAAUCAAAAGGGAGAUUAAAAAGUAUGUCAAGACAAAUGACAAUGAAAACACAACCACGAAAAAUUAAUGGGAAGGCACAAAGCCAGUUUUUAGAGGGAAGUUCAUAGUAAUACAGGCCUUCCUCAAAAAAGAAGAAAAAUCUCAAAUGGACAGUGUAACCCACCACCUAAAAGAAUUAGAAAAAGAAGAACAAAUAAACCUAAAGUCAGCAGAAGGAAGGAAAUCGUAAAGAUCAGAGAGGAAAUCAAUAAAAUAAAGAUUUCAAAAAAAAACAGUAGAAAAAAAAAUAUAUAACCAAAAUCUGGUUCUUGAAAGGGUAAACAAAACUGACAAACCUCUGGCCAGACUCACCAAGAGGAGGGAAAGAACUCAAAUAAAUAAAAUAGAAAUGAAAAAGUAGAAAUCUCAAUGGAUACUGAAG
This 3098-nucleotide long non-coding RNA is filed under the name Sus scrofa (pig). RNAcentral describes it as "lncRNA (ENSSSCG00000061008.1)". The record is from RNAcentral. Lineage: Eukaryota; Metazoa; Chordata; Mammalia; Artiodactyla; Suidae.